UUUACAGUAUGGAAAUUGGUGAUUUAUAAUAACUUGGCAAAUCGCAAAGUGAAAACAGGCGAUAAAUCAUUCAAGUUUCUGACCUAUCAGCUUUCGACGGUAUGGUAUUGGCUUACCGUGGCAGUGACGGUUAACGGGGGAUUAGGGUUCGAUUCCGGAGAGGGAGCCUGAGAAACGGCUACCACAUCUAAGGAAGGCAGCAGGCGCGCAAAUUACCCAAUUCUAACAGUUUGAGAGAGGUAGUAACAAGAAAUAACAAUACAAGGCAAUUAAAAUGCUUUGUAAUUGGAAUGAUAGAAAUUUAAACCCUUUUUAAAGUAUCAAUUGGAGGGCAAGUCUGGUGCCAGCAGCCGCGGUAAUUCCAGCUCCAAUAGCGUAUAUUAAAAUUGUUGCAGUUAAAAAGCUCGUAGUUGAAGUUCUGCUAAAAGUAACCGGUCUGCUUUUAAUAAAAGUGGUAUCUUGGUGUGUAUUUAGCAAUGAUGUCCUUUGAAGUGUUUUUUACUUUAUUGUAAUAAAGCAUAUUCAGGACUUUUACUUUGAGAAAAUUAGAGUGUUUCUAGCAGGCCGACGCUUUGAAUACUGCAGC
RNAcentral lists this ribosomal RNA (586 nucleotides) under Hepatozoon canis. RNAcentral describes it as "bacterial SSU rRNA". It matches the Rfam family "Eukaryotic small subunit ribosomal RNA", at positions 231 to 808 of the family's 1831-position model. The record is from RNAcentral. Lineage: Eukaryota; Apicomplexa; Hepatozoidae.